AACGAACGCUGGCGGCAGGCCUAACACAUGCAAGUCGAGCGAGGACUUCGGUUCUAGCGGCGGACGGGUGAGUAACGCGUGGGAAUGUGCCCUUCUCUACGGAAUAGCCCUGGGAAACUGGGAGUAAUACCGUAUACGCCCUUUUGGGGAAAGAUUUAUCGGAGAAGGAUCAGCCCGCGUUGGAUUAGGUAGUUGGUGGGGUAAUGGCCUACCAAGCCGACGAUCCAUAGCUGGUUUGAGAGGAUGAUCAGCCACACUGGGACUGAGACACGGCCCAGACUCCUACGGGAGGCAGCAGUGGGGAAUCUUAGACAAUGGGGGCAACCCUGAUCUAGCCAUGCCGCGUGAGUGAUGAAGGCCUUAGGGUUGUAAAGCUCCUUCAGCUGGGAAGAUAAUGACGGUACCAGCAGAAGAAGCCCCGGCUAACUCCGUGC
This 434-nucleotide ribosomal RNA is filed under the name uncultured bacterium. RNAcentral describes it as "partial 16S ribosomal RNA". It matches the Rfam family "Bacterial small subunit ribosomal RNA", at positions 29 to 508 of the family's 1533-position model. The record is from RNAcentral.